RNAcentral lists this ribosomal RNA (349 nucleotides) under uncultured bacterium. RNAcentral's name for it is "partial 16S ribosomal RNA". It matches the Rfam family "Bacterial small subunit ribosomal RNA", at positions 338 to 701 of the family's 1533-position model. The record is from RNAcentral.
CCUACGGGAGGCAGCAGUGGGGAAUAUUGGGCAAUGGGCGCAAGCCUGACCCAGCAACGCCGCGUGAAGGAAGAAGGCCCUCGGGUUGUAAACUUCUUUUGUCAGGGACGAAACAAAUGACGGUACCUGACGAAUAAGCCACGGCUAACUACGUGCCAGCAGCCGCGGUAAUACGUAGGUGGCAAGCGUUAUCCGGAUUUACUGGGUGUAAAGGGCGUGUAGGCGGGAGAGCAAGUCAGAUGUGAAAUUCCAGGGCUCAACCCUGGAACUGCAUUUGAAACUGUUGUUCUUGAGUGAUGGACAGGCAGGCACAAUUCCGUGUGUCGCGGUGAAAUGCGUAGAUCUACGG